UAAACUUUGACCAAAGGAUAUCAGAACAAGUUCACAAAUAAAACAGAUUUAUGAUACCUCGUGUAAGGAAUUUCAAAGACACAGAAAUUAGUUUGAACUCCUGGAAAGAGAUCGGGGAUUUGUGAUAAUUUGUCAAAUCCGUCACAAUUGAUAUAUAACAGGCCCAAAAUGUGGUUUCUAAAAUCUGAUUAUAUUUGGCUGUUUUCACUGCAUAACAUUUAGAAGUUGUCCUAUUUCAGUUUUAGAAAAACGAACUCAUUCGUAUCAGCAUACAGAAAUCGAAAGUGCUAAUCAAAGUAGUUUUUACCCGUAAUGCAGUUGAUUGAUGAGGAUGACAUGAACGUAUUGGGGUUGACAGAUUCUGACCCCAACAUCGUGUGGAAUACACAUAUAAACAAUAGCCUAAAUGUAGAAUAAUUUUGCUGUGGAACAAUGAGGAGAUUCGUGGGGGGAAACGGUGCAGUCGUUUUACAUCAUGCUAUCUUGGCUGAGCUCCUGUGUCAAGCACUGGAAAACGGACUCCAACAUCUCAGAAGAGGAGGAGUAGCGAGAAGGAUCGGAGGACCAAUGCGCAGAGUGGUAGUUGGAUAGCUCCAGGUUCUUGCAGAGGAGGUAGCAGAAAUGAGAGACUGAGAACGCGUGCAUCCAGUUGUGAUAUGGAGGGUCCCUGUAGCCUCUCUUCACCAUCAGACAAAACCUGGCCAGCGUGUUCAUGUUGAUCUUGGAGCGAGGUGUGUAGGUGAAGCUGGAGAAGCUGGGGUGUAUUUCCCCUACAGCCUGGAUGCCCACAGUCAGUAGCCGGGUCACUUCCUCGUCUGACACCUGAGAGACCGGGUCAAAGGUCAGGACAUUAACUGCCAAAUAUAACAAAAUGGCUGGAUCUACAUUCGUAGAUUGAAGAGAUAAGUUGAAUAGGUUGAAGAAGAGCUCUGAUUGGAUGCUUUACCAUCAUGUGGUACUUCAUCAUCUCAUUGGCCAGCUGACUCCUAAACUGUGCUUCAUCAACCCUCUUAUACAGGAGGGACUAAGGAGGAACAGAAAGCACAGGAGUCAUUCAGCAUGAUGACAAUAUUGUUGAUGACAAAUUAUUGUUAAACUAUUUAUCAAUAUCCACAGUAAGGAUGAUAACUUUAACUUUUUGGCAUUUAUUAUUGUUCUAAUUCAAGUGAACAGGAGCAUUCAUAGUACAACGACAACUACAAAAAGAGUGGGGAACGAUUACAAGAGCUAUCGUUUGGAUCACUUUCAAAGCGAUUUCUUUUCCAUAUCCCUUUGAUGAUAAAAAAUUGACAACCAAUCGAAAAAGCAUUCUCUUGAAGUUUUCUUGGUUCUAGGUGCGCGAGGCUGCUCGGGGAAGAGAGACGGCUGAGUGCAUGGUAAGCUUGCCUGAAUAACUGGGCAUGUGUGAGCAUAUUGGUGGCCACAUUAAUUAUAGGACGACUUGGGAGAAUGAUGAUCCACGACAAACAGCGCAUGAGAAGGUCAUAUUUUACAAGUUUGUACCAUAUUUUACAAUACAUUCUGACAAAAUACACACUAUGACUGGCCUGCUAAUAUGCCUUUCUGGACCUUGUAAACGGUUGAGAAUAGACCAAUAACUAAUCGAAAGGGUUGCAUAAUCAAUGACAUGGUGUAAAAGAUGUGCAGGCUAAACAGCGUUUGUUGUUGAAUUACUACAUUUAAAUAUGAGUUUCAAUAUUACAUGUGCAUCACCAUUCAAAAGUUUGGAGUCACUUACAAAUUCCCUUGUUUUUGAAAGAAAAGCACAUUUUUUUUCCAUUAAAAUAACACAAAUUUGAUCAGACUAUUGAUCAGACUAAUGACUAUUGUAGCUGGAAACGGCUGAUUUUUAAUGAGGCCCAUUAUCAGCAACCAUCACUCCUGUGUUCCAAUGGCACGUUGUGUUAGCUAAUCCAAGUUGAUAAUUUUAAAAAGCUAAUUAAUCAUUAGAGAACCAUUUUGCAAA
Molecule: long non-coding RNA, 1966 nt
Organism: Oncorhynchus gorbuscha (pink salmon)
Lineage: Eukaryota; Metazoa; Chordata; Actinopteri; Salmoniformes; Salmonidae
Exons: 4
Source: RefSeq, a predicted model, not a curated record